AGCCGUGUAAAGUGAUAUGAAAACAUUAUGCUGAUAGAUCUUUGCAAUCAUUUCUUAUUCACUAGAAAAGUUUUUUGUAGUUACAAAAAAUAUGAAUCUUGUGCCUCUAAUGAAUUAAUACAAAGCAUAUGUUUUUAACAGCCAUUAAUUGUUGCAAAAAUGGUUGCGGCGCCAGUGCACGAGUUCGGUAUCGUCCAUUGAUUAGUUGGAAACUUCAACACUUUUUUCAUUCAAUGCAGUAAAAGCAAUUACAUUUCCGAUUAAUGGCAUGCUGCAUGGUAAAGUUAGCGUAGAGUGAUAAACAGAUUGGUAGGUUUUUUACGUUUGAAAAAUGGCUAUUUCUUUGCGAGGGGGUCAAAAGGGGGGGACACGGGAGUAUCGAUAGAUAUUUUAUUCUAGCAUUAACUUUUACAAUUUAUGAGGAGCAAUUAUAUAGAGUAUACUCGUUCACAACCAUAACUUUCAAUUGGGAAAAAAACGAUAAAUUCCUUUUUUUUUUAUAUAUAUAUAUAUAUAAUAUCAUUAUUACUAAUAAAUGAUAAACUCUUCGUUCAAAGAUAUAAUUAUG
This 568-nucleotide long non-coding RNA is filed under the name Mytilus galloprovincialis (Mediterranean mussel). Lineage: Eukaryota; Metazoa; Mollusca; Bivalvia; Mytilida; Mytilidae. The record is from RNAcentral.